AAAUUCACAGAAUGAACUGGGUGCGAAACUAUUUCACACCCCUAACCCUUUUGUGUAGCGCCCGCCACGCCGGCGCCACACCCUACGGUGCAGCGCCUAGCUCCGAGGCGUUGCACCUCUGUCCACCGUGGCAACCCACGGGCCCGCACCCAGCAGUGCAACGCCUCCGAGCUAGGCGCUGCACCUGUAAUGUGGAGCGCCUAGCCGCUAGGCGUUGCACGUGUAAUGUGCAGCGCCUAGCGGCUAGGCG
RNAcentral lists this ribosomal RNA (250 nucleotides) under Triticum aestivum (bread wheat). RNAcentral's name for it is "partial small subunit ribosomal RNA". The record is from RNAcentral. Lineage: Eukaryota; Viridiplantae; Streptophyta; Magnoliopsida; Poales; Poaceae.